UUAGGUUUGCUGGCUGACACCAGUCAGAAUGGUAGGACUCCAAGUGAUGUGAUGGUCCUAAAAUUGAAUGGAUGAAAUCACCUAGGAAAUGGUCUCAGUAUGUCUUGGGGGUCCAGAGGAAUAAGUUGCAGGUUGGAUGACAAGGAAAUGACCAUGAUGAAUGCUUGAUGAAAUAUGAAGGAUGGUUUAGAAUAUGACUGCUACGGAAAGUGAUAGAAGAUUAUGAUCAGUAUUAUCUUGUAAAGCAAGGAAACCUCCAGGAGAAAAACUUGUAAAGAAAUUGGUGAAACUCAGCUAAAACAAAUCAUCCCAACAUUAACAUAUGAAUAUAAAUUUAUUGUUAACCAUCAAUUAAACAUCUACUAAGUUCUAGGUACUAUCCCUAUAAGGAUGAACCUAGAAGGACAACAAAAAGCUUUAAAGGUGCUUAAAUGGACCUUCAAGGUAUAUUGAAGAAGGAAAAAAUUCUAAAUGGUUGAAAAAGAACAGAGCUACUAUUUUAUCAAAAGAGAUUUAAAAAUAUCAACAGUCCAAAACAUAAGUCUGUUUUAUCUCUAUUCAGUCCUCAUGAGAAUGAAGCAAGAAGAUUGCCCUGUUCAAAAGUCAUCAGUAGCAUCCUUUUACCAGUCAAAGUUUACUGAAUGCAUCCUUCUUAGAACUCCAGUAAUAGUGGAUGAAAUGGAUGACAUGAACCUUACCCUGUUCUCAUAUAAUUGUGAUGUCCUUGUUCAGUUCUUCUUACUUAAGGAUAUGUCAUAUCUAUCUCAAGUCUCCUCUGCCCAGUUUCCUCCAGUUGUGGCAGCAAGGAAUCCCUCCAGGCUGGGGCCCUCACUCCAAGAUUCCAGGGACCACCAGACACUUAGCACAGUAGAUAAAUUACAAAGGGAUUGCUAAUAACCUGAUGAUCAUUGCUACUAAGGUGGCAGUUGCAUUGGCAUGAGCUUGUCAUUUAUGCCUUUUGGGAAGCAUUCAAAUUUUGCAACACUUACUUCAGCUUCACAGAACUCUUAAUCAUGGUUACAACUCCCCAAAACCAUGAAUCCAGCUCUAACUUUGACAAUCUGGCCAUCAUUUGCCAGCUUUGUUUCACUCAUAUGUGUUAUGUGGAUGAGAUACUACUGAGUUCACAACAAGAGUGGUUCAUCAUUCAGUUCUACUGUAUUUCAUGUUGCUCAUAAGCAUGUGCAUAUUCCAUGUAACAAUGACAAGCAAA
Molecule: long non-coding RNA, 1213 nt
Filed under: Monodelphis domestica (gray short-tailed opossum)
Lineage: Eukaryota; Metazoa; Chordata; Mammalia; Didelphimorphia; Didelphidae
Description: lncRNA (ENSMODG00000035945.2)
Source: RNAcentral